This 253-nucleotide ribosomal RNA is filed under the name uncultured bacterium. RNAcentral describes it as "partial 16S ribosomal RNA". It matches the Rfam family "Bacterial small subunit ribosomal RNA", at positions 524 to 776 of the family's 1533-position model. The record is from RNAcentral.
GACGUAGGGUCCAAGCGUUGUCCGGAUUUACUGGGCGUAAAGCGUGCGCAGGCGGUGAUGUAAGACCGAUGUGAAAUCCCCGGGCUUAACCUGGGAACUGCAUUGGUGACUGCAUUGCUGGAGUAUGGCAGAGGGGGGUGGAAUUCCACGUGUAGCAGUGAAAUGCGUAGAGAUGUGGAGGAACACCGAUGGCGAAGGCAGCCCCCUGGGCCAAUACUGACGCUCAUGCACGAAAGCGUGGGGAGCAAACAGG